GCAGACACAUUCCAGCCAAUCAGCAGCAGACCCUCCCUCCCAGACCCUCCCACCUCCUGGACAGCAUCCAUUUUGAACCUGCAUUCUUAGUGAGCUGUCCAGGAGGUGGGAGGGUCUGGGAGGGAGGGUCUGCUGCUGAUUGGCUGGAAUGUGUCUG
RNAcentral lists this microRNA precursor (157 nucleotides) under Pelobates cultripes (western spadefoot toad). Lineage: Eukaryota; Metazoa; Chordata; Amphibia; Anura; Pelobatidae. The record is from RNAcentral.